GUGUGCGAUCAUACCAGCACUAAUGCACCGGAUCCCAUCAGAACUCCGAAGUUAAACGUGCUUGGGCGAGAGUAGUACUAAGAUGGGUGACCUCUUGUGAAGUUCUCGUGUUGCACCCU
Molecule: non-coding RNA, 119 nt
Organism: Ricinus communis (castor bean)
Lineage: Eukaryota; Viridiplantae; Streptophyta; Magnoliopsida; Malpighiales; Euphorbiaceae
Source: Rfam